ACGCAGGAUCUUUUAGUUGCAGCAUGGGAGAGCUAGUUCCCUGACCUGGAAUCGAACCCAGUGCCCUUGCUUUGAGAGCACAGUCUCAGCCCCUGGACCAGGGGAGUCUCCUCCAUCCAGUCUUUAAUCACAUGUCACCUUCUUACGGAGGCUUUCCCUGGCCAUCUUACAGGGGCAGCCCUGUUCCCUCCACAGCCCAGUUCAUUCACCACCCCGUUUGUUUCUCUCCCUUGUACUUCUCACGACCAACUAGAGGAUCGACUUUCUCAAAUGCUGUUCCCAGUACAUGCCCUGCACCCACUACAGGCCUAACGAGUAGUUCGUCAUUGGAUAAAAUCCAUGCACGCAUCCUGUCGUGUGGGAAGCAGAAUUACAUCCCCUCCCAAAGACAUGCACGUCCUAAUCCCCAGAACCACUGCAUUAGGUGGCAAGGCAAACAAAGGCUAAUUAAGGUAACAGAUGGAAUUAAGUUUGCCAAUCAGCUGACCUUCAAACAGGGAGAGAGAGUAGCCUGGAUUAUCCAGGUGGACCCAGGAUCACAAGAUGCUUCCUUGUGGGAGAGGAAGGUAGGGAGAGAGCCAGGGAGACUGGACAAAGGACUCAGCCGGAGCCGCUUGCUUUGAAGAUGGAGGAAGGAGCCCCGAGUUAAAGAUUCCUGUGGCCUCUAGAAACUGGAAAAGGCAAGGUCGAGUCUCCCAGAAAACCUCCAGAAGGAACGCUGCCUUGAGGACGACCUUGACUUCAGCCCAGUGAGACACACUCCAGACUUCCGACCUCCAGACGCGCCUUGGGAGAGCUGUUGGGAAGUUGAAACGAGACAGGAAACGGAAAUGGCCGGUCCUUAAACACUUGCAGUACCCUGGCCCCAUCCUGGAUUCCAAACACAGAGGCAUAGGCUGAACCAAGAUUCAAAGCAGCUUUGCUGACUCGGAAGCCCCAAGCCCGGUUCUCACCUUGGUUCGCGGCCAGGCUGCCCACAGGCCCCCUCUCAGCAGUCCCAGCGGACUGGAAUGUAGGGGAAGGGUGAGAGGAGCAGCAGCCUGCACGCCGGGCCCCACUGCCCAAGCAUGGACCUUGGUCUCUGCCGCCCAGGGCCAGCGAGCAAGCAGGAGCGGACCAGCGAGGCCCCGUCAGAGGGGCUGGAGAGGCUGCCAGUGCUGGGUGGGAAGAAGGCCAGUGGGAGGGCAGUGAUGCAGGAGGUCAGGGAGGAACCAGGAGUGAGGAGACUGAGGCCAGAGGUGGGCCAGAGGGCUGCCCCAGGCCCCCAGGCCUCUCCAAGUCUCAGUUUCCAUAACACAGAGGUUGGCGCCGGAGAAGGGGGAUGGGGAGUACAAAGGAAUGGUCUCUCUGGGCCUUUUGCCAUCACCACUCCGCACGGUCCCUGUGGCCCAGGAGGAACGACUCUCUCUCCACAGCAGCUGUGAAGGCCCUGAGCUGGCUCCACCCACACCCACCAGUUUGCUGGGGGCCCUUGACUGCAUCAAAGAGCCCAACCCCUGCCCUGCAUUUUUUUUUUUUUUACGUGUGUCCAUUUAUUGAUUGCUGGGAAUACAGCUUAUUGAGAA
This is a long non-coding RNA of Bos taurus (domestic cattle), 1565 nucleotides long. The record is from Ensembl. Lineage: Eukaryota; Metazoa; Chordata; Mammalia; Artiodactyla; Bovidae.